UGCCCACUACGACAGGCGACAACCGCACCUAGUUUAGGGAGAGAUUCCUUGGCAGAUGCUGCCGCCGCUCUGACUUCGCUUCUGGUCUUAUCCUUCCUCCUUGCUGCUCCUCCCCCUCCAAGCCCAUCAUUUCAUCUCCAUCGCGACGCCGUCUAUCACCACCAUAGCCGUGCCGCAGCUCGAUCUGCUGCUCCUGAGCGCAGCCACCUCGUCCCCGACGCCGAGCUCCUUCUCCCCUGCCUUCUUUUCCCCGUCAUCUCCGUGUUCUCUUCUUCUCUUUUUCUCCUGUUUACUCACAUCUCCCUCUAUCUCUCUUGCUCUCUGUUACAGAGGCCGCCAUGGACGCCCGAGGUCCUCCGAUCCGAGUCUCCGACCCACACCCCGGCGUCCCUGCCGACGUCGUCGCCUAGGAAGACCACCAUGCCCGCUGCAGGAGCUUCGAGCCGACCCCGCAGCAUGUAGACCGCCGCCACCCGUCCGCCGUCGGGAAUCACCAGAUCCCCCCGUAUCCGACCUGCCUCGCCAUCCUUCUCCCGUUCCCGACGUCUCCUCAGCGCCAGAAUCUCAGGCGAGUGACACCACAAGACCCUGCCUCCUCUGCCCCGGAGGCCACCAUGGAGGUCAUCGCCUCUCCUUCUCGAUCCGUCCACCGUCGGAUCCAUGCUGGUGUUCUCCAGGGACCCGCCAUGGAGGUUGCCGCCCCUCCCGUCUCGAUCCUUCCGCACCCGGAUCCACGGCAGAGCAGCCGAGAUCCGUCGCCUGUUCUGCGACGCCUUGGCCCGCCAAGGCAAGCGCAGAGGCUGACAAGGCGCACAGGAAGGCCAAUGGCCUCGCCAAGCAGCGGGUGGCUCUGGCGAAGCCCUGCCCGAAACCCUAGCCACGGGGGUUGGGGUUGUGAGCGGGCGGUAGAGGAUGGGAGCGGAGAAUAUGGACGGAGGGGAGGGAGGCGCGGACCGUGGGGAGUUCGGGGGCGUGCUGCGCGGCGCCGGAGGUCGCCGGAAACGGCCGGCGUUGGUGGUGGCGGCGGUGGCGGCGAUGAGGGAGAGGAGGCGAGCCCGUGCUCCUCGUGUGGUCGCGUUUUCUUUUUCUUUACACAAAUCUGUUCGGACAGUGGGUUGAAUAUCGCAAAAAACAGAGUGUUUUGUGCAAAAUUGAAGUGUUUUCCCAGAUCCACUUAAACAGGGACCGCGGGUUGAAUUGUCAAAAACAGAAGUGCUUUUUUGCAAAAUUACAAACGACGUACGACCAGAAGCAAUAGGCGCUUUAUUAGUAGGGAAAGACUUUGAGAUUGCAACUUACCAACUUUACGUUGGAGUCAUGUAGUUUUACACGCUCAUGAUAGAACUGCAUAAUAUUAUUCCCCUCUAUCUUUGAUA
Molecule: long non-coding RNA, 1376 nt
Organism: Triticum aestivum (bread wheat)
Lineage: Eukaryota; Viridiplantae; Streptophyta; Magnoliopsida; Poales; Poaceae
Exons: 2
Source: RefSeq, a predicted model, not a curated record